AAAGAAUGCAGACCGUGAUGCACUGUUCUGUGGGUGUUAGUCUGCUGUCAAUCACACAGGGUUUUUGCUGUUAGAAAACGUUGAUAUGAAUAGUCCUUGGGUAAGGUUUCCAUUAUGAAUAGUCCUUGGGUAAGGUUUCCAUUAUGAAUAGUCCUUGGGUAAGGUUUCCAUUAUGAAUAGUCCCGGGGUAAGGUUUCCAUUAUGAAUAGUCCUUGGGUAAGGUUUCCAUUAUGAAUAGUCCUGGGGUAAGGUUUCCAUUAUGAAUAGUCCUUGGGUAAGGAUUCCAUUAUGAAUAGUCCUUGGGUAAGGUUUCCAUUAUGAAUAGUCCUUGGGUAAGGUUUCCAUUAUGAAUAGUCCUGGG
Oncorhynchus tshawytscha (Chinook salmon) is the source of this 361-nucleotide long non-coding RNA. NCBI's taxonomy places the organism in Eukaryota, Metazoa, Chordata, Actinopteri, Salmoniformes, Salmonidae. The record is from Ensembl.